GUUUCCGUAGGUGAACCUGCGGAAGGAUCAUUAUU
RNAcentral lists this ribosomal RNA (35 nucleotides) under Cortinarius ionosmus. Its description in RNAcentral is "partial 18S ribosomal RNA". The record is from RNAcentral. RNAcentral also lists the same sequence under 3 other names. Lineage: Eukaryota; Fungi; Basidiomycota; Agaricomycetes; Agaricales; Cortinariaceae.